RNAcentral lists this long non-coding RNA (25985 nucleotides) under Nicotiana tabacum (common tobacco). Its description in RNAcentral is "long non-coding RNA (NTAB_LNC010773)". The record is from RNAcentral. Lineage: Eukaryota; Viridiplantae; Streptophyta; Magnoliopsida; Solanales; Solanaceae.
AAUAAUAGUUGUGACUGAGUAUAUAAUUGAAAAUUAAGCAAAUAAUUCAACAUGCAACAUGACCUCUGUGGGACCCAACAGUACCAGCAUGUAGCCUAAGCCUGAUUUCUAACAUAACUUGUAGCUCAAUUUCUCUAACACAUGGAGAAUAAAUGGAUAACAACAAGAUUAUUCAAUUAUUCAGUUCCACGGAAUCGACCAAGUCAUAAUUUUUACGGUGCACGCCCACACGCCUGUUACCUAGCAUGUGCGUCAACUCAACACCAAUCACAUAACACGUAAUUCGGGGUUUUAUAUCCUCAAAAAUAAGUUUAGAAGUGUUACUUACCUAUAACCGUACGAAUCUCUACUCCAAUAAGCCCUUACCUCGCGAAUCAGCCUCCGAAUGCCUCGAAUCUAGCCACAAAUAAUUUGAUACAAUCAACACGAGCUAAAGGAAUCAAUUCCAUAAGAAAAUACUAAGUUCUUAAUCAACAGUCAAAAAGUCAGCUCAAAAGUCGACCACCUGGCCCAUGUCUCGGAAUCCAAUAAAAGUUACAAAAUCCAAAAGCCCAUUCAAUCACGAGUCCAACCAUACUAAAUUUACCAAAUUCCGACACCAAUUCGUCACUGAAAUCCCCAAAUUAAACUCUCCAAAUCCCUAGCCUCAACUCCCAAAAAUCCACCUCAAAAACACACAAACUAGGUGGGAAAAUAAUAUUAUUGAAUAAAAAUGAUCACAAGUGACCUACCUCAAGAAACCCAUCGAAAUCCCUUACAAAGAAAUCGCCUUAGCCCGAGCUUGAAAUGUCCAAAAUGAUAAAAAUCACGAAACCCUAAAGUUUUCAACUCAGCCCAGUGCUUUCGCAUCUGCGGCCAAAAUUUUACUUCUGCGGGAUCGCUUUUGCGAUGAAAGUUUCGCUUCUACGGUCCCAAUCCUGCUCAUGCGGGUGCGCCUCUAUGUAAAACCAUCCGCUUCUGCGGACCAACCACUCCAGGCCCCUUUCCGCUUCUGUGACCAACCAUUCGCAUCAGCGAGAUCGCAGGUGCGGAAUUUUCCCUUGCACCUGCGCAAAUACCCCAACUCACCCAGAACCACAUCUGUGACCCCAUGGCAGCUUCUGCGGCUCCGCACCUGUAGCCUAUCCCUCACAGGUGCGGUUGCACCAGACCUGAUCACACCAGCUCUUCCAAAAUUCCAAAAUCCAAUCUCAUUUCAAUCUGAAUCACUCCCGGGACCCCAUCUAAAUAUACCAAAACAUCCCAAAAUACGAAACGAACUUAGUAGAGGUCUCAAAUCAUAUCAAACAAUAUUAAAAAUACGAAUAAAGAAUGCCAUUGACUUUGUGUCUUGAAAACAAAGUGAUUAAGGUAUAUCGGAUAGUAUAGAAUAUAUGAAGUGUAGAAAGAGCUGUGUUUUGAAAUAAUAGACUAAGUGUGAAAAUUAAUUUAGAUAAAGAAUGAUUAAAUAUGUAACAAUGGUGUAUUGAAAAAUAUAUUAAAGAAUCGUAUCGUAGUGUGAGUUGAAUAAUAUAAAAGAAUUGUGCUUAAAGACUACAUAUUGGCUCAAAGAAUUUAAACAAAGAAUUGAAUUUCACAAGAAUAAGAUUAAAAGAAUCUACUUAUAAUUUGAAGACAAAAACUUUGAAUGAGUGAUUAAAUUAUGAGAGAACAUGCAUUAAGGAGUAAAGUGAAAAGAAAAGAAUGAUUAUUUGCAUAGGAGUAAUUUGACCAAAGAAACAAAGUGUGAAAAUAUUAGCAUGAAUGAGUAAGUGUUAAAGGAAUAAAAAUAUAAGAUAUUGUGUAGUGAUAUGUGGAAUGUUUAUAAAUUAACUAAAUGAAUAUUAAUUAAAGGAUACACUUGGAAAGAUUUUUAUUUAUGUGCAAAGAUUAACUAUUUAAGUGAAAAGCUAGAAAUUAAAAUUUAUUUUAAACGAUUGUUAAGAGUGGAAAAGAAUAAUCUUUGAACAAUCUUAGUAGAUAAUGAAAAAACUAAAAGAAUUAAUUUAAUGAAUGGAAUGAGUAUGGUAUAGGAAAAUGUACCAAAAUAUUUAUGACAUAGAAAAUUAUCCCAUCAAUACAAAGAAAUAUUCGCGCUAAAAAAAAGAGUUAUCAUUCAAUGAGUAACUAAAGACCAUCUCUCGAGUCAUGGUCUUGAAACACAAAUUAUGUGAGCCAAGCCCAAAUGACUACAAGGACAAAGUCUCUUAAAGAAUGGUAUGAUAAUUCAACUACAAUUUUUAACUUAAGAUGCGUCAAUUAAAAAAAAUUACAUAUGACAUGGUUCGAAAAACAUGCUAAUAUAACUUUAAGAGAACAACAAAAUUAUUUAUUUUAUUUAUUUAUUUUGAAAGAAGAUGACAUGGUUUUAUUUUUUUAUGUAUAUAGAUUUAGUUGACUAUAUGCAUAUCGAUCCUAAUUAAUCAACCGAGUUGUAAAACAUAUAUGGCAUCUUCUAGAUAUAUACAAACUCCAUAAAAAUCACCUAACGUGCAAUAUUGUAAUUUAACCCAAUUGUUAACUAUAUGCAAUUUACCCUAAAUAUUUAGUAAGUAGACGACAUCAAAGCAAGCAAGCACAAUAUCUAUCUACGAUUUCACUAUACUUUACGUUUUAGGUACACCCAAGAACGGGAUGUAAGAAGCAGGGAUUGAUGAGGGAUUUAUCUUCGAUCUUUCUCCAAAAUGUCUUCUUCCGAAGACGACUUCGUAUGAUAGUACCUUGCAAGACAAGAGAAGUGAAAUUAUUAGUUAAUAUGACGUAAAAGAUAAGCUAAUAAAGGUACAUGUGUUUUGAAAUGGUUUUUGUUUUAAAAUAUUUUUUGGAAAAUUGCUCUAGAAAAUAAUUUGAAAAAUGUUUUUGUAUUUGAAAGAUUGUUUGAAAAAGUAUUUUUUGGGAAAGAUUGUUUAUUGAAAUUAGUUUUGGAAAAUAGUUUUAAAAAUAAUAUAGGAGGCUCAAAUAUGUAUUUUUCGAUAUCCAUCUUAGACAUGAGAACUGGAACCGCCUCGGUAGUGACUCCGGUUGCUAAUCGUGUCGCCCUCCAUAGGUUUUAUGGGUUCAUCGCAUCCUCAUCUUUUAUUCUCCGAUAUUUAUUAUCAUCGCCUCGUUAUUUCGGGACCAAUCUGAGGGUCAUUCGAGGUGUCGGGCCUCAAAAUAAUUAUUCUCACCGGCCUAUGUAUAAUAUUUAUUUAAUAACAGUAUUGAGCCCAAUAUCGAAUACUAGCAAACGACCAACGGGUCAUAAUAAACAAUACAGUCCGGAAAGGAUCAAAGGGUCUCAAAACUUCGAAUCUGUACUCCUUCAACAGAAAGAUUUAAACAAAAUGGUCGAACACAGUUAAAGCCAAUGGGGUAGCAGCACCUUAAGCAAUAGAACCAAUGAUGGAAAUAAGAAAGUCAUCGGUACAAGGCAAGGCAGGAACAGACCAAAACCAUGAACAAAUACUCUAAGAGAGUCAAAUCAUUCACAAGCGUUAGUGCAACUUAAAUUAGCAGAAAACAGUAAUAGGCCAAGCUUGAGCUAAUAUGAACAAAACCAAACAAACUCCCCCAAAAUCGAAAAAGACAACAGGGGUGCCAGACUUUACAGGGAUCGCCAGAAUGAGCGGAAAACAGUGGUUCGUCGCCGGAAAAAUUCAUAUACCAUAUAAUCUAUCAAAAUCGCAAAUCAAAUCAACAAUAACUAAAUGCGGGUCCAAACAGCAUCCUAAGAGGGUCACCGAAAAAUCAAAACUCUAGCCAGAUUUGGACAUUUUCAGUCGGAUCUAAGGGAACACAUAGUCAUCGGGAUUUUGGCGAGUCAUCACCUGAAACGAGACAACGGGGACAAACGACCUGGCUACUAAGUUUCCAACUCAUUGCCGUAGAGGCUUGUCCUUUCUCUACUGAACAUAGCGGCCAUAGCAGUGAAGAAAAAAGUAGGGGUUGCUGAUAUUCAUGGAGUUCUGCCAGAUUUCAUGGUAUUUCCUGUGAGUUUAUGUCUUCCCGUUCACCACUAUUGAGAGUAUGAGGGCGUGAGAGAGGAGAAGAACAGCGAUGAGGCAAUAAAAGGUGCCAGCCAUUGCCGUUGGUGGCCGGCCGGCGGCAAGGCAGCAAAGAAAAAGUGGGGGUCGGUGGUUCCUAUCAAAGGAGAGAGAAAUGAAGAACCAAAUCCCAAAAUAAUAUGAGCCUUAGGGUUUUCAAAAGUCCUUAAAGAGCUUAUGGAUUAAAGUGGGAUGUGGGUGUAUUUUUAUUUUUGUAGUGUGUAAAAUGUGGGGUGUGGGGUAGCAAACUUAGGGACCAAGUUUUGAAUAAAAAAAUGUAAAAUAUAAAAGAAAAAUAUGUGGUCAACAAUUAAAGAAAGACAUGUCACAUCAAGUUACAUCAAUGUCAUGUCAAUUUCAUAUCAAUGUCUUGUCACAUCGGAUGUUGACGGACAUUAAAUUUGAUCGGACUUGAUCCGUAUUUUGAAAUAAAUUUUACUCGUUUCCUUAAAUUACUAGGUUGUGCUAUGAAUUAGAAAAUGAUUAUUCAGUUAGAAAAUUUUGUAGUAUUUAUUGAAAAAUGUAACUACUACGAUGACAUGGUAAUUAUUAUUUUAUUUUUAUUUUUUAAAAUGAUAAUAAAUUGACAGAGUAUCCUAAUAUUUGAAAAAUAGGACAAUUAUCAAUAAAUUAUUUGAAAUUUAGAAAAAUGCACAAAAAUGGUAGUAUUUAACUAAUUACAAUAAAAUGAUAAAAAUUCACAUAUUUUGUUAAAAUAUGAAUAAUUAUCAAUAAAUUGCAUAAGAGCUAAAUAAUGUGAAAAAAACUAUAUUUUUAUUAUUUUUUUACUAGGAAGCAUGCAAAAGUUAAUUUUUAAAUACGGAGGGUCAAAAUUGAGUGUCAACAGGAGCCCCUCUUUGACUGGAGACGAUGUAAGAGUCUUCGGGCAAAGAAAUUGACAUCAUACUCAAUUUUGUCCCGAUAUGACAGAGUGGGAAUGAGGAUGUUUUGAAGGUUGUGACCGAACUCUGGUUUUUGAAUUGCCUACAUAUCUCGGGUUGCACAAGAAUUAGGUAGCGUGUAGUUCUAGAGGAUUGAUUACUACAUGUGAAUCGUAGCUAAAUGGAGUGGAAGUCAAAUGUUCGAGGACGAAAGGGUUCGUGUGAUCUCGACAUUGCUUCCAAACUUUCCCUAGGGUCGAACUGUGGUAACACUAGGACGUGGUGUUGGAUGGAUGGAUAGAUUGAAUGGAUUUUGUUGUGGAUAGGGUCGGGCUCUUUGUUGAGCGUUCCUACAUAUCUCGGAUGUAACGAGAAUCAGGCCGAUUGUAGUUCGAUAAAACGAUGGGAUUUUUUAUUUUUGACUUGCAAAUUACCCCAACGUCAAAUUGUGAUGACACUUGGUGUUUUAUUUUGACUUUGAGGGUUCGAAUUACCUACACACCCCAUGUCAAUGGGACACUAGAAGGUGGGCGCAUGUAAAAUUUGAUCUUGAAAUAAAAUACCCAUUGUUCAGGAGGGCGCCUGAAAAUUUUGACUUUGAAAUAAAAUGCCCAUUGUUCAGGAGGGCACCUGAAAAAUUGGCUUUGAAAUGAAAUGCCCAUUAUUCAGGAGGGCACAUGAAAAAGCAAGAAGUUAUUUCCUAGAUGCAAAAUUAUAGAAUUUUGAAAUGAUAUGGCCGGGUCUGACUAAGACUGCCUACGUAUCCCAAUGGAAUCAGGCCAAAGCGUAGUUCGAUUGCAAAAGAUGACUGAAUCCGAUGUGGAUUGCCUACGGAUUCCUACCAAAGGAAAUCAAGUUGCGGCGUAGUUCCGAAUAAAUAGAAAUGAUUUUUUUGUUUGGUUUUCCAUUACAAGAGUGGCACUGGACCCUACGUGGGUUGCCUACGUAUGCCCCUGUAGGAAGUCAGGUCGGGCGUAGUUCUGUUACAACAAAACACUCUACUGUCAACAAACUUGACUCUUUUUUCUGUAUUUUUCGUUGUUUUGUAGCUUUGUAGAGAAUAUUUGAAGAAAGACUGCGAUUUUAUUGAUCAUUCAUUUUUUACUUGACUUUGGUUUGAACCAACGAUUAGUUUUGUGCUUAAGAAUUUCCAUCAUAUACUUUUCAGCAAACCGAGAUCAGCUUAUGGGUAAUUCAUAUAGCUUCGAAUGGUACCUCAGAUAUACCUAGGUUCGACAAGAUUUGUUCGUCUUGCUUCAAUCAAAGGUUUCGGCUUCUGCCUAACUCAUGUUUCAAGUGCCCUCACCAAAAGAAAGUCCUGAUUUUCACACAUUUUGAAGUGUUUUGCUUUUUUAGGAUAUUUUGAGAAGUACACUCACACUCAAAAAGAUGUCCAAUGCAUGCAAUUGAGAUACCAUAUACCUGACCUUUAUGUGAGUAUCCACUAAUGUGAGAACACUUGGAGUAGGAUCAUGUAGGGCUUUGUUAUUGGCUUGUAAUGUAGCCUUGGGGACGGGUAGGAUAUUCAUUUGGGAUAAAAGUGACUAAAUCCUCCAUGAGCAUUGCACUGCAUCUGUGUUUCUGGCGUUCAAACCAUACUUCGUCGCUUGAUCUUGUUCGGUUCGAUGUCCCUUUCUUUUGUUUAACUUAUUUUGAACUUGUGGGAGAUUCUUCUUCCAUUUUUGGAGGGUUUUUUUCUUUUUUUUCUUUUUGAAGCUUCUCCUGCUUUGCAGGAGUUUUUCCUUCUUUUGUUGGAGUUCCUCCUCUUUGAAUUUGUGGAGUUUUCCCCUUUUCUCUUUUUCUCUUUUUUUCUCUUUUGUUUCGUCCGAAUUUGCAGAAGUUUUCUCCUUCUCGUUAGAUCCUCCUUUUGAAUUUGCGGAGUUUCCUCUUUCUUUUCUUGAAGUCAUGUCUUUGAUUGCCUUGGACUUUGCAUCUUUCGUCUUUUUAUGCUUUUCGCCUUCACUUUGGUCUUCGUCCAAAGUUACACAUUUUCAGUGCGCGCAAGGAGGUUGGGCCAAGAGAGGGGUAGUGCUCGUAAGCACAAAGAAGGGUAUAGGAUAAGAUGUGGUUCUCCAAGAAAAAGCUUAAGGCUCAAAGGGGGAAUGCUAGGGAUUAAUGUCAUUUGGUAGGCUUGAAAGGCUCGAACGGGCAAAGAAUGCCUAUCAUCCUUUCCUAAACUAAGUGUUACUCAGGAUUUUACCUCAACAAACAUUCGGGCCAAGUUCUAGAUCUACAAUGCCAUGCAAUGAAUUUUAAUCUAGGCUCACCACACAAUACACAUGAAACAAAUGAGUUCGGCUUUGUUCUUACCUUAACUGUAAGCAUGAGAAUUUUUUCAAGUGUCACUAAGGUGUAAUUAAGAGGUACCGCAAGAGUCUAUAGUUUACCCAAAGCUGAUCCUCUCCAUCAUAUCAAUUUUAUACUUGUUCUUUCUCAUGCACACUCUUAACUAUGUUGGUAUUAACCAAGUCAAUAUUUUGGUGAUUUUCUUGUUCUUUUUUUUGAUUUUUGAUAAAUGGGACUAAACUCGUGGAAGGGUUCCUCUUUUUUUGGAUUUUGACUUAGCAACAAUUUUUUUGAAUUUUUGACUUAAUCGAUUAUUUUUUUGAUUAUUGAAAAAAUGAGAUCGAAGCCGAAGGUUGCCUACGUAUCUCGUUGAAAUGAGAAUCAGGUCAAGCGUAGUUCAGGAAGGGUGGAAAGAAAAUACUUUAAGAUUUUUAUUUCAUUUCAUUGUUUUUUGAAAUUUUGAAUAAGAGAAUUUUUUGUGAUUUUUGUUAGAGAGAACUGAAUGUAACACGGGAUUUGUGGUUACCGUUCCAAAGCGCAAUCGGAGCAUUGAAUGUUAGACAGGCUUAGUUACCGUUCUGAUGCGAUAUCGGAGCAUUGAAGGUUAUACGGGCUUUCUAGUUACCGUUCCAUAUAGAAGCAUUGGACAGAAAAGUUAAAUGACAGGCUGUGUAUCGUUCCGUAUAGGAGCAUUGAUUGUUAGACGGGGCUGGGUACCGUUCCGUUUAGGAGCGCUGACAAGAAAGUAAAUUAACGGGUUGUGUACCGUUCCGUAUAGGAGCAUUGAUUGUUAGACGGGGUUGGGUGAUGAGUGGUAAUUUUACCAUUUAUUUUAGUCUCUUUUCUUUAGUUUUUGUGUCCUUUAAUUAUAAUAUGAGGAUGUUUAUGGUGUGUAUAGCUAGAUUUUUAGGUAAAUGAAGUCAGAGAAUUGAAAUCAAAUGAAGUGGAAUUAAGAAAAAAGAGUUGAAGUAGUGCAAAAUCAUUCAGUGAUUUCGCAUCUGCGAAAUACUGUACACUUCUGCGAGCUCGCCUCUGCGAGUAAAGAGCCGCAUCUACAGAAAAUAGCAACCUUCCACUGGGAUCGCAUCUGCGGUUGAUAAUUCGCAUUUGCGGAGCCGCUUCUGCAUCGAUAUGUUCCGCAUCUACGAAGAACGUAAUUCUCCACAAGUUUCGCAUCUGCGAAUGAAACUCUGAUUUUGCAAAGUCGCACCUGCAAUAAUUUUUUCCGCAUGUGCGGUCAACGGGAUUCAUCUCUGGACAAACUUGCCAUUUCACAUUUUCUCCAUUUCAAACCCACAAAUACAUGACCUAGCUUAUUGAAAACACAUCUUUGGCCAAUCUUUGGCUUAUUUUCAAUCUUCUUGACUAGAGAACACAAGUUUUGGAGCUAGGGUUCUUGCACAUAUACUUGGGUCUUGAAGAUUUGAAACUUUUGGUUGAGAAUUUCUUACCAUUUAUGUUCAUUUACUCAUUUCCUUGCUUUGUAUUAUAUAUCUAAGUGUGUAGUAUUUUUUCCAACACUUGAAUCUUAUUUAUGGGAAUAUUCAUCUUUAAAGUAUGGAUUAAAUAUUUUAUUGUGCUUAUGUAUUAAACGNUUUUUANNNNNNNNNNNNNNNNNNUGGGAAAGAUUAAUUAACAAGAACUUGAGGUGUUAACCCUCACUUUAUAGAUUCUACCUAGGGAUAGGAUUAAACUACUUGUAACCAUAUUUGGAUGUGCUUAAUCUCUUAAUUAUUUUAGGGAUAAUUCAAUUAGUAAGUCUUAUUAGUCUUAGGAAGAAGCUAAUAAAGAAUUAUUACCUGAGGCUAAUUAAUAUAAACUCGCUCAUAUUUGUAAAAUCGUGAAAUACAUUGGAUCGUUACUUGAGUGUAAUUUUUCUUGUAUCCAUGCUUGUAGCCAUUUAUCAUUUUACUUAUUUUCUAGGUUAGUUUAUAAUUUCACAUUUAGUUAUAAAUAUUUUUCCAAAACCAUUCUAAGUGUUUGGCUUAGCAUAAUAAGCGAUAAUUUUCUUACACGCCUAAUCGCCUACAUAUUGUUUACUAUGGGAUUCAACCCUGACUCAUAGUUGGAUAAAUUAUAUUGCAUGUGACCGUGUCCAUUUACUUUUUAUUAGUGGAUUUGGAUGUCAUCAAAAUUGGCACCGCUGCCGGGGAGCAAUUUGGCGUAUUUAGGUUAUUUGAGAAGUAAGCGUACGUGCCUUGGUCCAAACUUGUGAAUAUUUGUGUAAAUAUUUUUCUUAUCUUUGUUUAUUUUUCUUGCUGUUUUCUUGAUUGUUUCUUGUUUAUUUUCUUAGUUUUGAAAAAUGGCAUCAUGUAAUGAAUAUUGGUCGAAUGGUAGUUGUUCAUAAUUUGAUGACUCUUGUCCUUAUAGUGGAGGACCACACUCGUGGCAAAAUAGUUUAAAUUCUCCCAAGGCGGAUUGUGCGCACCAUCUCAAACCCAUGAGUGGAGUAUAUGUGAUAAGUGUGGUGGUCAAAAUGGCCAUGGAAAAAUUGUGCUUAUUUAUUCUUCCCUUCCCCGAACCCCCACUAUGAUGAUUCUACUUUUUGUGAUGAUAAUUAUACAGAUAUGGAAGUGGAAGAAAGUGAUCAUGGUCAAAAUGGAGAGUUCAAGCUCAUGAUGGAAUGCCUACUUGAAGGAGGAAACAAAGAGCAAAAUGCCUUGGACGAACUUUUGGAAACUAGUCUCCAAAAUGAUUUAGUACUUGAAAGGUUAAACUUACAAAUGGGAGAAAUGUUUGAAGCUAUAAAGUUCCAAAAAGCCUCGGAAGUGGAUGAUAGUCAAGAACCUUCCUUAGAGGUUGAUGCCGAAAAUCCUUCUUUGGCACUUGAGGACUUAAAACAAGCACUAGAUUAAAAUGAUGAGACAACCCGCACUUUGAAAGAUCAAAUAAAAUCAUUGGUUGAGUCUCAAUAUGCCCACCAACUUGAGAGUACGGAAAGAGCUCAAGAAAAGUCCAACUUCGAGGAAGAAAGCGAGCUUUAUUUUGAGGAAUCAAGAAUUGAAAAUCCGCCAACUGACUCCAUGCUUUCUGGUGAUGCCAAGAAAAAUUGAAAUUAGAGUCAACUGAUGUAGUUGAAAAGAUGGUUGAAAAUGUCUCUAGUUUGGGGGAAAAAGAGGAUGUCAAUCAUGUAAAUUCCAUGGGGGAGUGCAAAGAAGAAACACAAGAGCCAUACAUCUUGCAAUUUGAAUAUUCAAGAACGCAAAAUGACAUGCCUCAAAAGAAAGCCAAUAAAUGCAAAACAAAGAAAUUGAUGUUUGGCUUGAUCUACUUACCAUCCCCCGUUGCUCGUGGUCACAAGCUUGAUUCCACGUUAGGUGCCCAAUUCAUAUCUUCCAAGUGGAGAGAAAAGUAGUAAAGUUAAUUCGCGUCGUGCCACGACGUUAAAUGCGACGCUUGGUGGGAGGCAACCCAUCGUUUUCAAAUGUUGUUGUUAGAUUUUUAUUUUUAUAGAUUAUUUAUCUUUAUUGAAAAUUUUGAUGUGUGUGUAUCAUAGAGUGCAAGGAAAAUAAAGAAAAAGAGGCUAAGCUUGCUUUUCUGCGGCAAAAAUAAUGCAAUCGCAUAGUGGCUAUGCAGACCGCAUAUUGGUCGCGGAACGAGUUAGAAGUUUGUAAGCUAUGGUCGCUCAAAAAUGCAGCGAAAUGCAAAUUUUGCAGACCGCAUAACGGUUAUGCGAUCGAAAAUGCGGUCACACAUUGGCCAAGCACACACCCAUCAUUUUCAAAUUUUGAAAUCGUUUUUGAAAUUUUCUUUUUUAGAAUAGUUUAGUGUAUUGAUUUUUACUAAUCUGCAAUGUUUUAGAUUUUUGGAGUUGAAUUGAGGAGUUUAAGGUGAUGGAAUGAGCCAAAGCAGUGGCUGCCCAGUUCUGUCAUUGAGGAAUCUGGUGCAACCGCAUCUGCGGAACACUACUCACAGAUGCGGCCUCGCACAAGCAUCAGUUAGAGCACAUAUGCGAAAUCUUCGCAGAAGCGGUUCACCAAUUGCAAAAGUGUAGGCGCAGAAGCAGUUAAAAACUCGCAGAUGCGAACCAUCGGGUAAAUUUUAAAGACCCACUGUGUCUUUCAUCAGGUGAAACUCUAACCUUUUUUCCCCAAAAUCAAAACUCACUCUCAUCUCUCACACAAGGAAACUACUGCUCAAAUCCUAUUGCCCACAUAUAAGGAAAUCAGGUAAUCAUCUUGUUCCUUCUGUCUUUUAAUUGCUCACUCUUCUUCCUCGACUUUCUUCUUCUCUCAUCAUCAUAUACUCUUCUCCAUGGCAGAAUUCCCAUAGUUCCUCCCUCCCCCCCCCCCAAAUCAACGUGCAUUUAGGGGUGAGAGAAAUUGGUUGGGUGUAGUUUUGUGUGUUGUUAUUGUUGAAAAGAAUUAGGGAAGUCUGAGUACCAAUUGCUUCAAGGAAUCAAAAAUCAUUUUGUGUUUGUCAUAUGUUCGACAAAUUGUCUGAAAGAACUUUUUAUGCUAUGUGCCUUAAAAUAAUGAGCAAUUAAGUCUUAUGUUCAUGUAGUGCACUAAUUUAAAAAUCUUGAGUAUAAAGUUUGUACAAAAAUAAUGUUUGGAAUUGAAAACAAAGCUGCAGUUGCUGGGCUUUUGAAACCCCUGAUGAACACUUGCAGAACAGAAAAAAGGGCCGCAGAUGCGGCCUCUCACCUGCGAUGCCCCUUCGGCAGGUGCGAUGUUUGGUCAACUGUGAAUGUUCACAAAAGCGAAGAAAUUUUCGCAGAAGUGGAACCACACUUGCGAUGUUUUUCUGUAAGAGAGGUGACUGGGCAGUUUUUGCAAAAAUAGUAGCUAUGCAACUUUGGCUUGCUGGGCCUAUUUGGCUUGAUUCAUUGGCCUAAUUGCAUAAUUUUAAAUUUCUCAACAUGAUUCUAAUGCCCGACUAACUUUGUUUUAAUUUUUAAGGUGCUUUGAGCUUAAAAUGGACCCGAACAUGAACGACAAUGUUGCGCUUGAUCACGAUAUUGAAGAAGUGGCUGAGGAUUUGAACUAUGAUGCCAACAGAUUCAUGUCUUCCAAUUGUCAAAACCGGUAUUAUGAUGAUCUCCUCACAAAGAAACUCAAACUUGAGAAAGGAAUUGUCGAUAGCAAAGUGGCCGAGCUCCUUCCAGAUUUCCAUGGCCGGCUAGUUUCAAGCGGCUGGACCUACUUCAUUCCUACUCCAUGCAACACCAAUAAGGAACGGGUGUGGGAAUUUUAUGCAAACUUAAAGCGUAUACAUUUCCAAAACCAUGAACUUACAAUAAGGGGAAAGAUUGUGAAAUUUGGAGUUGAAGAGAUAAAUGAUGUCUAUGGGCUUCAAAAUCAUCUGGUCAAGCUAAUGUGAGAAAGAAAUGCAUGCGAAAAUGGUGAUUGGCUAGUCUCAAAGCUCUGUCCUACAGGUUAAACAGUGACUUGGGCUAAAAAGAAAAAAGGCAUUAAAUGUGGUGAUUUUACAGCAGAAGCAAAAAUAUGAUUGUAUAUCAUUGCGAGCAGAGUGUCUCCUUGUGGGAACGUGUCUAAUGGCACAUAUACUAGGGCCCUGAUAAUGGCAUACAUCCUUGAUGGAAUUUCAGUGAAUGUCGAUCACUACAUCGUUCGAGAGCUGACGGAGUAUGUGCUUCAAGGUGGCUCGACAUUGAUAUUUCCAUCAUUGAUUAUAGAGUUGUGCCAGCGUGCACAGGUUGAGGAAUAGGAUGGAGAUCAUGUGAUACCGGCAGACAAGCCCUUUCACCCAUUGAGAGUUACAGGAGAAGGCAAUGUGCUAAAGAGCAAGAAGAGGAAAAUGGAGAUUGUUGUAGGUGAGGGGUCCUCCUCACAAGCUACACAGGCCGAGGGACCAUUUGGGAUGCUAAAUUCCCAGCAUACCUCCAUUUGUGACUUAGGUCACAGCUCCCUAGUGGUCCUUCACACUCCCAGCCUAUGCCUGACAACUAUACUAGGGAAGAAAUGAAGACCUACCUGUAGGCCCAGAAGAAGCAGGCAGAGUCUCAGGAGAAGUUGGUAGCUUCUAUUAGCAGGCUCAAGACAGCCUAUGGCAAUAUGGCCGAGGCACAUGUAGGUCUUCAGGUAGACUUCCAAAAGGAGAAAGAGAUAAAUAAGAAUAAGGGCAAAUUCAUGAUAAAGAUGUGGAGAGGAAUCAAGGCCAUCUUCAAAUGGGGGCAGCCGAACAGAAAGAUACUGGUCGAGGACAAAGAUGAUAGUGAAUAGUAUUCCUUCUUGUCAAAUUAUGUUGAGGCUGAUACUGAUGAUGAUGAGGCCGAGAGCUCUACACGGCAUUGAUGAGCCUUUUUCCCGCAGUCUGCUAGUCUGAUGCAGACCUCAGGGAGACCCUCAAACUACUCUUAUUUUAUCUUGAUAUUGUGCAGUGAGGACACUGCAGUAUUUUUAGUUGGGGUGGCUUUAGGGGAGUAAACUUUAUUUGUACAUUGAUGCUUAUCUUAUGCCCUUGCCGGGCUUAUGCUUUUGUAUGGAUAUUGUGUGCCCUUGCCGGGCUUGUUUUACUAUUGUUUAUCAUGUGCCUUUGUCGGACGUAGUUUGUGAUUGGUGAUAUAAUUGCGGAUUAGUCGCUUUUGUUAUUCUAUUUUAUUUUUAUUUAUUUAUUUUCUUUAGUAGUUUUUAGUUUAUGUUAUUUUUAUUCCUUUAGUAUUAGUUGCUUUUGUUAUUUUUUUUUCUUUAGUAGUUUUUAGUUAUUUUAUUUUUAUUCCUUUAGUGUUUAUUUUAUUUUCUUUAGUAGUUUUUAGUUUAUAUUAUUUUUAUCUCUUUAGUAGUAAUAUACUUUUCAAUAAAUUUUCUUGGGUUUUCUUUAUGCUACGGUUCUUUUUCGAGGAAUAUUUUUGUGUUGAACCGGGUAACUUUUUCCUAUGUUGGAUGGCGUGAUGACUUUCUUAAGGGAAUUAGUCUUGUUUUGUAUGUAGAGACUUUUGGACUGUUUGGUACUAAUAAAAUUAGUCUCUUGUAUAUGAAGUGUAAAUUAAGAAUACCCCUCCGAAUUUUGGUUGUAAAUUGAAAAAGUAAGUUGCAUGGGGAAGAAUAAUUUUUGUGAUAACUUGUUGGCUCAUUUUGUGACUCUUUGCCCACUAGUUGGCAUGAUAUUUCUCUAAUUGUUCUUAUUAAGAAGUGAAAUUGAUCCAUCUUGAUUAGUUCAUGUGCCAUAUGUGUUAGUUUUUGUUAAAAAUAAUUCUUGUGUUUAUUUUUAUCAUCUAGAACUUGCUCGGUUGGUCUUUCAAUGCUAAUGUUAAUUAUGUUUAGUUGGAGUGAUGACCUUAGACAUUCUUUGUGAUCUUUGAAAAAGCCUUUUUAGUCUUUCAAGCCUACCAUUGCAUAAAUAUUAUUACUAAUUAACCCCAUUUGAGCCUUUAACUUUUUUUUGACUAUCUCAUUACAAACCUUUACCCUUUUUGUAAAAUAGUUCCCUCUUUUGAACGCGCCCCUCCUUGAAUAUUAAAGAUGAGGCUAAAAGCCUAAGUUGGGGGUGUUGGUAUUAAUUGGAAAAUGGUGAAGAUGUAUAUUAUGUGUAGAAACAUAUACCUCAAAGUUGUUUAUAUGAAGAUACUCAAGCUCCAAAAAAAAAUAGUUGUAUAAAAUAAUGGAGUCUUGAGAAAAUUAGAGAGGUACUUUAAGGUGGUUCUAUAUUGGUAACUAGAUGUUAAUAAGGGAUAUGUGGUUUAAAAAGAAGCAAAGUGCAAAAAGAAAGACAAAUGUGAGUAGUACUCAAGGAGGGUGUAGUCACUUGUAUCCCAAAUGUUUAUCCUAACCUUCCCUAAGCCUACAUUACAAGCUUAAAAAGUCCUUAUGGGAUCUCCAACUGAAUGUACUUGAAUAGGCGGCGAAUUAAAAUAAGGGCAAGCUUAUGGUAUGAUAUUUUGUAAUACUUAAAAUUCUUUAUUGAGAGUGAGUGUCUUUGUGCAUUUGUCCCUUGUGUUGUUAUUGUAAAUAUGGUAAUUUUGGGACUUUCUUUCUUGUGAAGGCACAUGGAUUAUGAUGGAUUAGUGACAUUGAUAUAUUUCGAAUUAAGUAAAUUGAGCAUAUGUAGUAGACUAGUACUUUUGAGUCACUUCUUGAGGCUUGGUUGUUGUCACUUGAUAAAUUUGAAACUCCAUUGCAUUCUUGAGAUUGUAUUUAAAUGAGGGAGUCAUUUGGUUGAAGUUCACAUGCUUGAGCCUAAUUAUUAGUACCAACCAAAGCCAUAAGUAUGGUGCUUAAUUGGAGAAUGUGAUUUAGGAAUGAUAGCGAUACUACUUGUGCUUUAAAUGGUAAAACCUAAUUGAAUAUUUUGUUUUGAUUUGCUUUAGGACAAGCAAAAGCUUUAAGUUGGGGGUGUUGAUGAGUGGUGAUUUUACCAUUUUUUUAGUCUCAUUUCUUUAGUUUUUGUGGCCUUUAAUUAUAAUAUAAAGUUGUUUAUGGUGUGUAUUGCUAGAUUUUCAGGUAAAUGAAGUCUUGAAGAGAAUUGAAAUCAAAUGAAGUUGAAUUAAGCAAAAGAGAGUUGAAGUAGUGCAAAAUCCUUCAGUGAUUUCGCAUCUGCGAAACAUUGUUCGCUUCUGCGAGCUCACCUCUGCAAGUAGAGGGUCGCAUCUGCGGAAAAUAGCAACCUUCCACUAGGAUCGCAUCUGCGGUUGAUAAUCCGCAUUUGUAGAGACGCUUCUGCGUCGAUAUGUUCCGCAUCUGCGAAGAAGGCAAUUCUCUACAAGUUUCGCAUCUGCGAAUGAAACUCCACUUUUGCGGAGUCACACCUGCAAUAAUUGUUUUUGCAUGUGCGGUCAAUGGGAUUCAGCUCUGGACAGACUUGGCAUUUCACAUUUUUUCCAUUCCAAACCCACAAAUACACGACCUAGCUUAUUGGAAAAACAUAUUUGGCCGAUCUUUGACUUAUUUUAAGUCUCCUUGACUAAAGAACACAAGUUUUGGAGCUAGGGUUCUUGCACACACACUUGGGUCUUGAAGAUUUGAAGCUUUAGGUUGAGACUUUCUUACCCAUUUAUGUUCAUUUCUUCAUUUUCUUGCUUUGUAUUGUAUAUCUAAGUGUGUAGUAUUCUUUUCAACACUUGAAUCUUGUUUAUGGGAAUAUUCAUACUUAAAGUAUGGAUUCGAUAUCUUAUUGUGCUUAUGUAUUAAAUAAUUUUUAUUUAUAUUGAAGUGAGUUAUUGUUUCUUUAAUUAUUCUUGUUCUUNNNNNNNNNNNNNNNNNNNNNNNNNNNNNNNNNNNNNNNNNNNNNNNNNNNNNNNNNNNNNNNNNNNNNNNNNNNNNNNNNNNNNNNNNNNNNNNNNNNNNNNNNNNNNNNNNNNNNNNNNNNNNNNNNNNNNNNNNNNNNNNNNNNNNNNNNNNNNNNNNNNNNNNNNNNNNNNNNNNNNNNNNNNNNNNNNNNNNNNNNNNNNNNNNNNNNNNNNNNNNNNNNNNNNNNNNNNNNNNNNNNNNNNNNNNNNNNNNNNNNNNNNNNNNNNNNNNNNNNNNNNNNNNNNNNNNNNNNNNNNNNNNNNNNNNNNNNNNNNNNNNNNNNNNNNNNNNNNNNNNNNNNNNNNNNNNNNNNNNNNNNNNNNNNNNNNNNNNNNNNNNNNNNNNNNACUUUGAAAAAUAUAAUUUGGGGUUGAAAAAGAUUAAUUAACAAGAACUUGAGGCGUUAGCCCUUACUUUAUAGAUUCUACCUAGGGAUAGGAUUGAACUACUUGUAGCCAUAUUUGGAUGUGCUUAAUCUCUUAAUUGUUUUAGGAAUAAUUCAAUUAGGAAGUCUUGUUAGUCUUUGGAAGAAGCUAAUAAAGAAUUAAUACCCGAGGCUAAUUAACAUAAACUCGCUCAUAUUUGUAAAAUCGUAAAAUACAUUGAAUCGUUACUUGAGUGUAAUUUUUCUUGUAUCCAUGUGUAACGACUCGGCCGGUCGUUUUGAGAACUGUAGUCUCGAUCGGCGGCAUAAGGCCCUGAGCAGCUUUGUAUUAUGUGUAUUGACUUGCGUGCGUGGUUGAAUUCAAUUACCGGGUGAUUCGGAGUGAUUUGGGAUACUUAGUCCCUAAAACGAAAGCUUAAGCCUUAGGAUUUUGACCGUAGUCGGAACUGUGUGAAGACGACUCCGAAAAGGAGUUUAGUCGGUUCUGUUAGCUCCGUUGGGUGAUUUUGGACUUAGGGACAUGUCCGGAUUGUGUUUUGGAGGUCUGUAGCUAAUUUAGGCUUGAAAUGGCGAAAGUCAAAUUUUUUUAGACUUUAAUCGGAAGUGGACAUUUUGAUAUCAGGAUAGGAAUGUGAUUCCGAGAGUUGGAACAGCUCCGUUAUGUUAUUUGGGACUUGCCUGCAAAAUUUGACGUCAUUCCGGGUUGGUUAGAUUGGUUUCGGCACGAGUUUUCGAAGUUGGAAGUUUUGGAAGUUCAUAAGUUCGAUUCGUGGUGCGAUUUGUAUUUUUGGCAUUAUUUGAUGUGAUUUGAGACCCCGAGCGAGUUCGUGUUAGGUUAUGGAAAUUGUUGGUAUGUUUAGACGGGGUCCCGGGGGCCUCAAGUGUAUUUCGGAUGGGUUACGGGCCAUUUUCUUCUAUUUUUGAACUACUGUUUUCUGUCAUUUGGUUUCCUUAAUCGCGUUCGCGUCCCUUCCUUCGCAUUCGCGAAGAGUAAUUUUGGAAGAGGAAUUCAUUGUUCUUCGCGUUCGCAUGAUCACGUUCGCGAUCGCGAAAGUCUUCUUUCUCCUUCUUCGCGUUCGCAUCUGUUCCCCUGCGGUCGCGUAGUAGAAAUUGGGAGCUGGGGGCUGUUGGCUAUUUCUUCUUCGCGUUCGCGUCAUUCUUCCCGCGUUCGCGUAAGUUCUGUUUCUUACCCUUCGCGUUCGCACCCCUUAGCUCGCGUUCGCGUAGGGUUAUAUUGGCAGCCUACAUUUUUCUUCUUCGCGAACGCGAUCCUUUCUCCGCGUUCGCGAUGCUUUGGCGCUUGGGCAGAAUAUAAGAUCUUCCAAUCAAGGGUUAGGCCAUUUUCAUCAUAUCUUGACUUUUAGAGCUCGAUUUUGAGAGAUUCUUUGUGGGUUUUUCAAGAAAAUUAAUUGGGUAAGUGUUCUUCACCUAGAAUGUAUUAUAUUGCAUGAUUUUAUCUUUAUUUUUAUCAUUUAAUUUGGGUUUUGAGUUGAGAAAAAUGGAGGUUUUUGAAGAAAAUUUUCAAAAUAAAAAAUCAUGAUUUGACGGACGAAUUGGUAUCAGAAUUUGAUAAUUUUAGUAUGGUUGAACUCAUAUCGGAAUGGGUGUUCGGGUUUUGUAAAAUUUGUCGGGUUCCGAGGUGCGGGCCCGGGGGUCGACUUUUUGGUCGAUUUUUGGAUUUUGAUAAAGAUUAAGGCUUUAUGAUCCGAAAUAGUUUCUUAUGAGUUUUAUUUGUGCUUUGAAAUUAUUUUGGUUAUAUUUGAGCCGCCCGGAGGUCAUUUCACCCGAGAAGUUCAUUUUAGAGUAUCGGUCUAUCUUCUUUGAGGUAAGUAUCUUGCCUAACUUCGUGUGGGGGAACUACUCCUUAGGAUUUGAGUCUUCUAUGCUAAUUGUAGUCCGUGUACGUGAGGUGACGAGUACGUACUCGGAUUUAUUUGUGAAAAGUUGGCCUUUUAGGGUUUUUAGGUCCUUGUAUUCACUGAAUAUGUAGUUAUUCUCGUUAUGAUUACGUUUCUAAAUUACUAGUUUCACCUCUACCUGUUUUAAUUAGAAUUAAUUGCUUCAUGAUCCUCCCUUGAUGCUUAUUUGAGUCAUAUGUGCCUUAACUGAAAUUGUUAUCUCUUCUAUUGACAUGUUAUUUUUUUCCUAACUUCUUAUCUUUAUUUGAAGUUGUAGUAAUCCCUUUUGUAAAUGUUCGCCCUUAAUUGAGGUUAUGGUUAUCUUUCCGCCGCCUACCUUUAUUUGAAUUUGUUGCAUCUCUUUCGUAAUUUUCCAAAAUUAAAAAAAGCUUAGAUAUCAUAUGCCUUAGUUGUUUUGCCCUUAUUUGGAAUUAUUUGACUCGUGUUAGUUUUUUUGUUGUUGAACUGUAUAUUGUGGGAUCAUUAUUAUAUUUUAUUUUCUUCCCUGUUGAGUUGUUCUUAUUACGCCUAGUAUUCUUUAUUAUGGCUAUUCCUUGCAAACUAGUUUUACUGUUUCUUGCGAUCGAAGGUUCUUGAGUUGAUUUAUUUGGCGUACCCUAGUAUUAGUGUUAUUGUUGUUGUUGUACUUGUUGUUCUUGCAUAUUUACUUUGGGACUACGAGGCGGUACCUCGGUAGAUCCCUUUGUCUUGCAUAUUUACUUUGGGACUACGAGGCGGUACCUCGGGAGAUCCCCCUGUCUUGUAUAUUUACUUUUGGGACUACGAGAUGGUAUCUCGAGAGUGCCCUUUGUUGACAUCUCUUUGUUAUGGGAUUGCACGAGGUUUCUGCCGUGCUAUUGUUAUUAUUGAUAUUUGCACAUGCGGCGUGACAAGGCGGGAUACAUAUAUGUGGGUUGCACAUNNNNNNNNNNNNNNNNNNNNNNNNNCGAGACAAGGUUGGGUUGUGUCAGGAUUGAUUUGUGAUAAUUUGUGAUGACUUGGGGGCAUCUUUGUUGUUGAUAUUUGUAUAGUGGUACACUUACAUGUGUGAGCUUUAUCUUGUGAAAGUUGUGAGGAAACAUUCUAUGUGUUGUCCGCUCUUUUCCCCUUAUGUUCACUAGCUGGUAUGAACUAUGUUAGGACACUUGCACAAGCAUACACGUAGUUAAGCACUCUUAUCGAAUAAGAGGUUUUCUUGAUAUUGUUGAGUACAGAUGUACACCCUUGCUUAUUUGUCUUCUAUGUGAGAAUGGCUCUAUUUGGCACUCAAGUCGUCAGUGCGGUUAUGAGGUGUAAUGAGGGCACAGGAUGCCAAGUGUUAGGGUUAAGGUAUUGAGACCCGUGAGUUGUGAUUUGUCCGAGGUUCGAUACCUCUUGGAGUUUGUUGACUAAAACCUGAUGUGAAAGCGGUCGUUAUUGCUGAGUUAUUAAUUGUCCUUGUUGUAUCUGUGGUUUCGGAUUUAGGUUGUGUUUACGUUCACCCUUCUGUGUCAUUAUUAUGGUAUUCCGCUGAUACUUGUUACUGUCCUUUCCUAUUGCAAUUACUGUAUGGUUAGUCAUAUCGGGUAGUCUUUAUGUAGAUAUUACACUCUGUUGUUUCUAUACUUAUACCUUGUUCAUGUUAUUUAGUCCAGUAGGUGUCUUGACUGUUCCUCGUCACUACUCUGAGGUUAGUCUUAAUACUUGUUGGGUACUGACAUGGUGUACUCAUACUACACUUCUGCACAUUUUUGUGCAUAUCCAAGUACUUCGAAGUCAGUCGAUCAUUAGCUAGUUGUGCGGACUGUUGCUGUGGAGACUCAAGGUAAACCUGAUGCUACGUUCGCAGGCUUUGGAGUCACCUUCCUAUUUUGUAUUCACACUGUUUUACCUAUUUCCAAAUAGUUGUAUUUAGAAAUUUGUAGCAAACUCUGUAGAGCUUAUGACAAGUACUACCGGUUUUGAGAAUUGUAAAUUUGAUAGAGAAUUCUAUUUCAAAAGUUGUUAGAUGUUAUUUAUUAUUGUUAUUAUUCAGUAAAUGUUAGGCUUACCUAGUCCCUAAGACUAGGUGCCCUCACGAUACCCAACGGAGAGGAAAUUAGGUCGUGACAAGUUGGUAUCAGAGCUCUAGAUUUAUAGGUGCUACGAGUCAUAAGCGAGUUUAGUAGAGUCUUGCGGAUCGGUUCGGAGACGUCUGUACUUAUCUUCGACAGGCUAUGGAACUAUUAGGACAGUUUCACUUCCUUCAUUCCUAUCGUGCGAGUUCAUUGAUCUCGAAGUUGAACUUUUAUCAUUCCAUUCUCUCACAGAUGGUGAGGACACAAGCUGCAGUUACUGAUGACGUUACCCCCGGAGCAGAUGUUGCAAGGCAGAGGCAGAGGCCGACAAGGAGCACGUGCCACAGCUAGGGAACCUACCAGAGUAGCAGUUGAGGAGCCGCCAGUAGUUCCAGUUGGGGGGCAGGUACCGGAGGUGCCUGCUAUUACCCCCGGACUUCAGGAGACCUUAGUACCGUUUCUGAGCAUAUUUGGUACAUUGACUCAGGUGGGGUUGAUUCCAGUUGCACCAGCUAUUUCACAGACCUGGGGAGGAGCUCAGACUCUCGCCGCCCACACUCUAGAGCAGAGGGUUCAUAUUGGUCAGGUUCCAGGUGUAAUUAACAUAAACUCGCUUAUAUUUGUAAAAUCAUAAAAUACAUUGGAACGUUACUUGAGUGUAAUUUUCCUUGUAUCCAUGCUUGUAGCCAUUGAUCAUUUUACUUGUUUUCUAGUUUAGUUUAUAAUUUAACAUUUAGUUAUAAAUAUUUUUCCAAAACCUUUUUAAGUGUUUGGCUUAGCAUAAUAAGUGAUAAUUUUCUUAUACGCCUAAUCGCCUACAUAUUGUUCACUGUGGGAUUCAACCCUGACUCAUAGUUGGGUAAAUUAUAUUGCAUGCGACCGUGUCUAUUUACUUUUUAUUAGUGGAUUUGGAUGUCAUCAAAAUUGGCACCACUGUCGGGGAGCAAUUUGGCAUAUUUAGGUUGUUUGAGAAAUAAGCGUACGUGCUUUGGUCCAAACUUGUAAAUAUUUGUGCAAGUAUUUUUCUUAUCUUUGUUUAUUUUUAUUGUUGUUUUCUUGAUUGUUUCUUGUUUAUUUUCUUAGUUUUGAAAAAUGGCAUCAUGUAAUGAAUAUUGGUCGAAUGGUAGUUGUUCAUACUUUGAUGACCCUUGACCUUAUAGUGGAGGACCACACUCGUGGUAAAAUUAUUUAAAUUCUCCCGGGGGUGGAUUGUGCGCACAAUCUCAAACCCAUAAGUGGAGUAUAUGUGAUAAGUGUGGUGGUCAAAAUGGUCAUGGGAUAAUUGUGCUUAUUUGUUCUUCCCUUCCCCGAACCCCCACUAUGAUGAUUCUACUUUUUGUGAUUAGAAUUAUAGGGAUAUGGAAGUAGAAGAAAGUGAUCAUGGUCAAAAUGGAGAGUUCAAGCCCUUGAUGGAAUACCUACUUGAAGGAGGAAACAAAGAACAAAAUGCCUUGGACGAACUUUUGGAAACUAGUCUCCAAAAUAAUUUAAAACUUGAAAGGUUGAACUUACAAAUGGGAGAAAUGCUGAAAGCUAUAAAGGUCCAAAAAGUCUCGGAAGUGGAUGAUAGCCAAGAACCUUCCUUAGAGGUUGAAGCCGAAAAUCCUUCUUUGGCACUUGAUCAAAAACAAAAAGAACUCUCAAAUUCUCAAAAUGAGAGGAUGAUGCUCAUGUUGGAGGCCAUUCUUGAAAAUGAGGAGAAGCAAAACUUGGCACUUGAGGACUUAAAACCAGCACUAGAUCGAAAUGAUGAGACUACCCGCACUUUGGAAGAUCAAAUAAAAUCAUUGGUUGAGGCUCACUAUGCCCACCAACUUGAGAGUGCGGAAAGAGCUCAAGAAAAGUCCAACUUCGAGGAAGAAAGUGAGCUUUAUUUUGAUGAAUCAAAAAUUGAACAUCCGCCAACUGACUACAUGUUUGUUGGUGAUGCCAAAAAAAAUUGGAUUUAGAGUCAAUUGAUGUAGUUGAAAAGAUGGUUUAAAAUGACUCUAGUUCGGGGGGAAAAGAGGAUGUCAAAAUCCGAAAAAAGUAGCAAGUUGGGAGUUUGAUAUCUCGUUCCAAGCACUUUUUAACUUUGGACUUGUAUGGUGAUAUGAGAAUUGAACCAUGUGAAUCCAUGGGGGAGUGCAAAGAAGAAACACAAGAGCCAUACAUCUUGCAAUUUGAAUAUUCAAGAAUACAAAAUGACAUGCCUCAAAAGAAAAUCAAUAAAUGCACAAUGAAAAAAUUGAUGUUUGGCUUGAUCUACUUACCAUCCCCCGUUGCUCGUGGUCACAAGCUUGAUUCCAAGUUAGGUGUCCAAUUCAUAUCUUCCAAGUAGAGAGAAAAGUGGUAAAGUUGACUCGCGUCGUGCCACGACGUUAAAUGCGGCGCUUGGUGGGAGGCAACCCAUCGUUUUUAAAUGUUGUUAGAUUUUUAUUUUUGUAGAUUAUUAUUCUUUAUUGAAAAUUUUGAGGUGUGUGUAUCAUAGAGUGCAAGGAAAAUAAAGAAAAAGUGGCUAAGCUUGCUUUUCUGCGGCAAAAAUAAUGCGAUCGCAUAAUGGCUAUGCGGACCGAAUAUUGGUCGCGGAAUGAGUCAAAAGUUUGUAAGCUAUGGUCGCUCAAAAAUACAGUGGAAUGUAAAUUAUGCAGACCGCAUAACGAUUAUGCGACCGAAAAUGCGGUUGCACAUUGGCCAAGCACACACCCAUCAUUUUUAAAUUUUGAAGUCAUUUUUGAAAUUUUCUUAUUUAGAAUAGUUUAGUAUAUUGUUUUUGACUAAUCUGCAAUGUUUCAGAUUUUAUAGAGUUGAAUUAAGGAGUUUGAGGUGUUGGAAUGAGCCAAAGCAGUGGUUGCCCAGUUCUGUCAUUGAGGAAUCUGAUGCAACCGUAUCUGCGGAACACUACUCGCAGAUGCGGCCUCGCAGAAGCGUCAGUUAGAGCGCAGAUGCGAAAUCUUCGUAGAAGCGGUUCACCAAUCGCAAAAGCAUAGACACAAAAGCAGUUAAAAAUCCGCAGAUGCAAACCGUCGGGUAAAUUUUAAAGACCCACUGUGUCUUUCAUCAGGUGAGACUCUAACCCUUUUUUUCCCCAAAAUCAAAACUCUCUCUCAUCUCUCACACAAGGCAACUACUGCUCGAAUCCUAUUGCCCAUACAUAAGGAAAUCAGUUUCCUCGUGAUUCGGCUUCCGAAUGCCUCGAAUCUUAGUCAAAAUAAUUUGAUACAAUCAACACGAGGUAUAGAAAUCAAUUCCAUAUGAAAAUGCUAAUUUUAUAUAAAAACCCGAAAUUUAGCUCAAAAAUAGCCCAUGGGGCCCACAUCUCGGAACUCGACAAAAGUUACAAAAUCUGAACAUCCGUUCCGAUACGAGUCCAACCAUACAAAAAUUAUCAAAUUCCGACAUCGGAUUGACCUUCAAAUCUUCAUUUUAUAUUUUUGGAAGAUUUUACAAAAAUCAGAUUUUUCUUCCAUAAAUUCAUGGAUUCAUGAUAUAAAUGAAUAUGGAAUCAUGAAAUAUAAUUAAUAUAGGAUAAGGAACACUUACCCCAAUGUUUUUCCAUGAAAAUCGCCCAAACAUCGCCUAAACCGAGCUCCCCAACUCUAUUUUUGUCAAAAAUGGUCAAAAACCCCGUUUUAUAGACCCUCAGAUGUUUCGGGCGUCAAAGGUAGCGUGGGGCGCUGCCUGUGGCGCAGUUUUCAGUACCCAAAAAUUUCCAGCGCCAGGACUAGCGCCCCACGCUACCCUGGGCGCUCGCGGCGACGGAAAAAUCGUUCCAGUUACGAAAAUAGGCAUAACUUUCUCAUACGAUGUCCGAAUUCAAUGAUUCUUUUUGCUAUGGCUCCGUAAUUUCAAUACGGAUCUAAUACUUUAAUCAAAACUGAAUUUGGAGCUCAUUUUCUUAAUGUUAUAUCACAUAUUCUUGAAGAAUUGACAUCGAAACAUAGAAAAUCAAUCCGGAAUGAACUCAAAUUUUGUGUACAAGUCAUAAUACCUCGUAGGAAGUUAUUCGAGACUUCAAAUAGUUGAAAGGAGAGUAAUUACUCAAAAAAAAUGACAAGUCGGGUCGUUAUAAAAUUAUAGUUGGAUUAUCAUACUUUUCUUUGAGAAACUUGGGCCUUGUAGUCAUUUGGGCUUGGCUCACAUAGUUUGUGUUUCAAGACCAAGACUCGAGAGAUGGUCUUUAGUUACUCAUUGAAUGAUGACUUUUUUUAGAGCGAAUAUUUCUUUGUAUUGAUGGGAUAAUUUCUAUGUUAUAAAUAUUUUGAUACAUUUUCAGGCGCCCUCCUAAACAAUGAGCAUUUUAUUUCAAAGUCAAAUUUUUCAGGAGCCCUCCUGAACAAUGGGCAUUUCAUUUCAAUAUCAAAUUUUACAGGCGCCCACCUUACAGUACGAGUUUUUUAGAUUUUAAAUGCUCCGAUAUCGUUUCGGACCGGUACACAAUCCGGAGUUUUUUUUUCAUCCAAGUGCUCCGAUCACUUCGGACCGGUACACAACCCGAAUUUCCUUUUUUCAUCCAAGUGCUCUGAUCACUUCGGACCGGUACACAUCCCGGAUUUACUUCAUUAAUCCAAGUGCUCCAAUCACUUCGGAUCGGUACACAACCCGUACUUCCUUCAAUAAUUCAAAAUGCUCCGAUAUCAUUUCGGACCGGUAUCUAGACCGGAUCUCUUUCGAAUUAGAGUUCCAACCUGGGGCCUACUUCAUUCAAAAUAAAAUCACGUCAUUCUUGCAUCGCAUACAAUCAUUAUUCAAGUCAUUAUAAUCCAUCUAUCUUAAAUCAAUGGAAGCAUAGUCCACAACUCGUCAACUCUACUGAUCAAAGACGCGAUACAACGUGGAACUAACUUCUAAGCAAAUAAACUGGGGCAUAUUUUGAGGACGGGUGUCGAGCUUUCCAACAUCAAUCGAUGACAUAUCUCAAGUAUCGUUCUUAUGUCCCAUUGGCAUGGAGUGUGUAGGUAAUCCGAACCCUCAUAGUCAAAAUAAAACACCUAGUGUCAUCACAGUUUGACGUUGGGGUAAUUUUCAAGUCAAAAAUAAAAAUUCCAUCGUUUUCUUGAACUACAAUCGGCCUGAUUCUCGUUAUAUCCGAGAUAUGUAGGAAAGCUCAACAAAGAGCCCAGCUGUAUCCACAACAAAAUCCAUUCAAUCUAUCUAUCCAUCCAACACCACGUCCUAGUGUUACCACAGUCUGACCCUGGGGAAAGUUUGGAAGCAAUGUCGAGAUCACACGAACCCUUUCGUCCUCGAACAUUUGACUCCCACUCCAUUUAGCUACGAUUCACAUGUAGUAAUCAAUCCUCUAGAACUACACGCUACCUGAUUCUCGUA